UUUUUAUCAAGUUACAGGUAUUUGGCUUGUUUUAAGAGUUUGCCUUUAGGAAAGUUCUGUUGUAUUUAACCUUAGGCAGGAAUAACAAAUAAUUAUCUCAGAUAAGGAAUCCCUUGCUCCCUUCUUUGCUUUCCACCCCCAUGUUGUAAAUUCCUGAAGCCUCCUGACCCUUUUUCAACCCUCAUGUUGUAACCUCCUGACCCAACCCCCCUGACCCUUUUCUCUUUGAUGUGUGAUAAUAAAGACAGAAGGACAGAGAUGACCCGGCGCAGACGAUACCAAACUUUCAGGGAGUGCAGUUCUCCGUUUGGGUCAUCCUCUGUCCUCUUCUAUAAGAAGAGUCUGAAACUUGUGUUGUGUGCUUUUCAUUCUAGGAUAAAAUGGGUUAUCUUUAAUAACCCUAUCAGCCUGGUGCCGUGACGCGGAUCCCAACAUAUCAGCUCGCUGACGAGAGGAGCGGACACGCUGAAACCCACCGGUGGUCUGAGUCAAGGACCUGUCGAAAGUCCCGGGAGGUAAUUUCCUCGCUGGGCCAGCGUCGUAGGUUUACUCCUUUCGCCAACGAGGGAUUGACGGGAUCCGACCGGGAGAAAAGCACACCACAGCAAGUAAGUUUUAAACGACUGUUAAAGUCCGUCGUUUAGGGUUUAAGUCCCAUGUUACGGGUGAUUAAAAAAAAAAUCCCCCAAAGGUUAAUCGAGAGUUUGAGUCUCUCGAAGCUGCCGGUUUGAGUCCGUCGCAGAAGUUAAGGAAAACCAGGUUAAAGUCCUGAAAGGUAUAUAAAAAAAAAAACAACAAAAAAAAAAAACAAACAAAAGAAACAGGAUUAAAGUCCUGGAAAUGAUAUAAACACAACGCAGAAGUAAUUAGGAUGGGUUCAGCACAAAGUAGAAGGGGAAAUCCCAGAGGGGAUGAAAAGUUUGUGUAUCCAAGUAAAAUUAAAAUGUUAUUGCAAUAAAUAUUAUCAUAUAUAUUGCUUAAUAUUAAAAAAAAUACUUGGAGAAGUGGAAGAAAAGUAUAAAAUAGAUGGUGUGUUGAAGGUGAAUCAAUAGAAAAAUGUUGUGUGCCGGCUAAAAAUAAGCGCUAAGAAAGAAAAAAAAGAGGGGAAAUAAAAAAUGUGUGUGUGUAUGUCUAUGUGUAUGUGUGUAUGUAUGUAUAUAAAUAUAUUUAUAGCUAUAUAAGGGCUUGACGUUGCUCGCUGUAAGUUAAUUCAAGCACAAAAUAGGCAGGAUGAGAGACAGCCUCGUGCAGCAGGAGGGGUUGGGUUGGCUGAUGGAACGGUGGCGACUGCAGCGCCGCCGCGUCCGGCUGACAACCUUCCCCCAACACCUGUUGAUCUCCCACAAAAUUAGGCUCUAAACAAA
Molecule: long non-coding RNA, 1364 nt
Organism: Fundulus heteroclitus (mummichog)
Lineage: Eukaryota; Metazoa; Chordata; Actinopteri; Cyprinodontiformes; Fundulidae
Exons: 2
Source: RefSeq, a predicted model, not a curated record